Callithrix jacchus (white-tufted-ear marmoset) is the source of this 8753-nucleotide non-coding RNA. NCBI's taxonomy places the organism in Eukaryota, Metazoa, Chordata, Mammalia, Primates, Cebidae. The record is from RefSeq and is a predicted model, not a curated record.
GCUACCCAACUGCCCCAGUGUGUGAUGUUCCUCUCCCUGAGUCUAGGUGUUCUCCUUGUUCAACGCCCACCUAUGAGUGAGAACAUGCAGUGUUUGGUUUUCUGUUCUUGUGUCAGUUUGCUGAAAAUGAUGGUUUCCAGAUUCAUCCAAAUCCCUACAAAGGACACAAACUCAUUGUUUUUUAUGGCUGCAUAGUAUUCCAUGGUGUAUAUGUACCGCAUUUUCUUUGUCCAGUCUAUCAUUGAUGGGCAUUUGGGUUGGUUCCAGAUCUUUGCUAUCGUACACAGGGCUGUUUAUAGUAGAAUGAUUUACAGUUCUUUGGGUAUAUACCCAGUAAUGGGUCAAAUGGAAUUUCUAUUUCUAGAUCCUUGAGAAAUCGCCACACUGUCUUCCACAAUGGUUGAACUAAUUUACACUCCCACCAGCUGUGUAAGAGUGUUCCUGUUUCUCACAUCCUCUCCAGCAUCUGUUGUUUCCAGAUUUUUUAAUGAUCGCCAUUCUAACUGGAGUGAGAUGGUAUCUCAGUGUGGUUUUGAUUUGCAUUUCUCUAAUGACCAGUGAUAGUGAGCAUUUUUUCACCUUUGUUGGCCUCAUAUAUGUCUUCUUUUAAAAAGUGUCUGUUCAUAUCCUUUGCUCACUUUUGAAUGGGCUUGUUUGUUUUUUUCUUAUACAUCUGUUUUAGUUCUUUGUAGAUUCUGGAUAUUAGCCCUUUGUCAGAUGGGUAGAUCGCAAAAAUUUUUUCCCAUUCUGUUGGUUGCCAAUUCACUCUAAUGACUGUUUCUUUUGCUCUACAGAAGCUCUGGAGUUUAAUUAGAUCCCAUUUGUCUAUCUUGGCUUUUAUUGCCAUUGCUUUUGGUGUUUUAGUCACGAAGUCCUUGCCUAUGCCUAUGUCCUGGAUGGUUUUGCCUACAUUUUCUUCUAGUGUUUUUAUGAUGUUAGGCUUUAUGUUUAAAUCUUUGAUCCAUUUGGAGUUAAUUUUAGUGUAAGGUGACAGGUAGGAGUCCAGUUUCUGCUUUCUACACAUUGCUAGCCAGUUUUCCCAACACCAUUUAUUAAACAUGGAGUCCUUUCCUCAUUGCUUGUUUUUGCUGGAUUUGUCAAAGAUGGUUGUAGAUGUGUGAUGUUUCUUCUGGAGUCUGUUCUGUUCCAUUGGUCUAUGUCUCUGUUUUGGUACCAGUUCGAUGCUCUUUUGAUUACUGUAGCCUUGUAGUAUAGUUUGAAGUCCAGCAGUGUGAUGCCUCCAGCUUUGUUUGUUUUCUUAGGAUUGUCUUGGCUAUGCAGUGUCUUUUGUGAUUCCAUGUGAAGUUUAAAGUGGUUUUCUCCAGUUCUGUGAAGAAGCUCAUUGGUAGCUUGAUGGGGAUAGUGUUGAAUCUAUAGAUUACUUUGGGCAGUAUGGCCAUUUUCAUGAUAUUGAUUCUUCCUAACCAUGAACAUGGAAUGUUUCUCCAUCUGUUUGUGUCCUCUCUUCUUUCAUUGAGCAGUGGUUUGUAGUUCUCCUUGAAGAGGUCCUUUAUGUUCCUUGUUAGUUGUAUUCCUAGAUAUUUUAUUCUCUUUGUAGCAAUUGUGAAUGGGAGUUUGCUCUUGAUUUGACUCUCUUUUAGUCUGUUAUUGGUGUAUAGAAAUGCUUGUGAUUUCUGCACAUUGAUUUUAUAUCCUGAGACUUUGCUGAAGUUGCUUAUCAGUUUGAGAAGAUUUUGGACUGAGAUGAUGGGGUCUUCUAGAUGUUCAAUUACGUCAUCUGCAGAUAGAGACAGUUUGACUUCCUCCUUUUCUAGUUGAAUACCCUUUAUUUCUUUUUCUUGCCUGAUUUCUCUGGCUAGAACUUCUAAUACUAUGUUGAAUAGGAAUGGUGAGAGAGGGCAUCCUUGUCUAGUGCCUGAUUUCAAAGGGGAUUGGAAGAUAACUUUUUAAAAUUAAUCUUCCGAGGUUGAUUUCAGCAGGAAAAUGGGGAAAUGUUAUUUUCCCAUGGUAGUGGAGUUUUCAAAUCUUCAGAGAAAAGAGAGAAUGAAAUAUGUAUUGCAUCAGAAGUUCAAUGCUUCCCUCUGUACACACAGAGAGAUCAGCUUAGACAACUAUGUUUUUUUUUCUUUUUGAGUGCAGUGAUAUGAUCUCACUUCAACCUCUGCCUCCUGGGUUUAAGUGAUUCUCUUGCCUCAGCCUCCCAAGUAGCUGGGAUUACUAGCGCCCACCACCACGCUCAGCUAAUUUUUGUAUUUUUGGUAGAGAUGGGGUUUCACCAUGUUGGCCUGGCUGGUCUUGAACUCCUGAUCUCAACUGAUCCACCCCACCUUGGCCUCCCAAAGUGCUGGGAUUACAGGCAUGAGCCACCGCACAUGGUCCCAAAUGUUCUAAAUCAUCCAGGACACCUGCAGUUCAUGUCUGUUGUCCCACUGAACUAUUCAUAGCACCUCCUGGAACUCAACAAGUAUCAUUGUUUGGGUAAAGUAUACAGUCAUUCUACCUACUAAUUUGUAUACAUGGAUAUGAAAAGACAUAAAAACUGUGACUGUGAAAAAAUCGAGUUGCCUAAUUAGAACAUUUGGUCACACUAUCUAUAGAUUAUAAUUUGAAGCAGGCUUCUGUGUUGGUUUCUCCAGAAAUUACAAUAUUUUGAGAGGGGAUAAAGAGAUGGAAGAAUUCAUCAGAGAACAAGAACUAAGAUAUUUUCAUCAUAAAAACUGUGGAAAACUUUGGUUAAAAUAACAACAACAACAAAAACAACUCCAAAUAGCCACCCUUAUUAAACUCUAGCAAGCUGAUGGUACAGUUUUUGUUUUCAAGUUAUAUGAUGGGAAACUGGAGGAAGGUGUUAUAAGGUCGAUACAUUCCUCAUAAAAGAUAGGAAUUUUCUAACAAAGUCAGCAAGGCAGUGAGAUGGAUGAGAGAAUGAAUGAGAUUUCUUUCAAGGACACUGACAAUUGUGAAGAGUAAAUAAGUAGAUUUGGGGAUUUUGCUGAUCCUAUUCCUGUAUUGCUCUAAGUCUACACUGUAGAUGAUAGUUCAGCUCUCCUACCUCAUCUAAAGAGUUUUGUCCACAUGGGGGGACUGGGAAGAUUAAUGCUGACUGUGUAAUCCCAAGCUUGAACUAUUUCCUUAGGGCCUUUUGAGCUGUCUAUUGGAUUGUGUUUUGUGCUUCACUUAAUGUAAAAACAAAGCAGGGCUUGGGGUGUUUCCUUUGAAAAAGAAGCAGCUGUGAGAUAAUUGGCAGCCAGUGAUCAGAGGAGCCACAGAUCUCCAGCAAUUGGAGCUCUCCCAGGCAGGAUGACAUGAUCUAAUGUUCAAAGGGGAGGAUGGGAGUUACCAAUCUUUGUUUGAUGCAGUGGAUUAUAUUUUUUCUCCCAGCUCUGUGGAAAGAAUGAAUUUUAUUUUUAUAUGACUUGCAGUAUAGUUUCUCAUUUUUAAUGGGAUAGUCCCCAAAUUGACAUCCUCAAGCCAGCUGGCCAUCACAUCUGCACAUGCAUUUUAAAGAAUCUACCUAUCCCUAGGUCCUUCCUUUCAGAUUGAUCUUUGUCAGAUGGUAAUUUUGUCAACAUUGAUUUGAGAUCCUCUUUUAACUCUGUAAAUAGAAAGGGAAGAAUUGAAGUGUAAAAAAUUCAGAACUCAAAUGUGAUGAUGUAUGAUACAUGGAUAAAAGCAUUGGAAAAUUAUUUCUCUCACCUCUGGGUAUCUAACCAGAUACAGAUGUCAAGUGACCAUCCAUGAACUUGGAUACUAAUGAAGUAUACUAUAAGAAGCAUUGGACUGGGAGUCACAGAAAACUGAAUUCUAAUUCUGGUUCUGACAUAGAUUCAUGGUAUAAUCUUAAGUGAGUUUUUGGACUUCAUUUUCUUCCUCUAUAAAAUGAGGAAGGUGAAAUCAGUUGAUUGCAAGGUUUUUUUUUUUCAGCUCUAACAUUAUAUAUAGUUUUAAUACUUUGUUUUCCCAUAGAGUGAAACAUCACACAAAUAUAUUCCUGACUUUUCAUCCAGUUAUAAAUUUUUUUUUCCUAAUUGUCACUUCAGGGUUUUCCUGAAGAAUGCCACAAUUUUGUGUUCCUUACUAUUCCUUUUUCAUAGUCUUGACAGUGUUAGUCUUAAGGUAUGAGAUGAUUAGAUGGUUGCCUUUUAAGCGUGAGUCAAGAGCUAUCUCUAAACAUUUCUUACAUUGUCCUGCCUCUGAAAUCUGAAAUUCAUCCUCAGGAAUUUGUUUCCUGCAGAUGAGGCACCUGCACUCUAUUAAUAUACACAUGCCCUGGGAGAAGCAACACAUUAAGCGUAUUUCAGUUUAAUUAGAACACAUUUAUCUGGGUUUUCCCAAUAAGCUGGCUACCCUCUCACAGCACUUCAGAGCAGGAGAGAGGCAAUGGGGAAAUUUUCAUAGGCCAGAGAAGCAUUGGGAUCCAUGUUGGAUGAUACCUGAUGUUUCCACCUGGUGGGAGUCAGAGUAAGAGACAAUAAGCAGUUGCCACAGGGAGGGAUAAGAGGUUAAUGAAACACUGUGCAAUAGGGAAUGUUGUUGGUGCCAGAAGGAUACAAGGAAGUUGGAAGACGCCAAGGAUCCCCCAAGCAUAAAUACUGCCUCACAAUUUUCCUUAGCCUGGGUCUGUCCAUGUUAAUCUGUAUGAAAUUGAUGUAGUUCCUCCUUGCUCAGUGAUCUCUUGCCAACAAGAAGGAAAUCACACUGUAUUAACUUGUGACACUUUCUUGUGGCUCCUCCAGAAUCUCUUUGUUUUCAUUUUGCCUGAAUUUCAGAUCUAUAAUUAGAGUUGAGAAGCGAACAUUCUGCACAGGGAGUUUUGCUAACACCACCAUUUUGAGGAGGAAGUUUUUUUAGAGGUGAAAAGUAUGGCAAAUCUUCCCCAUCCCUUUAUGAAACAUACACUCUCUGAAAAGUCUAACAAAGGUAGGUACUAGGAGUUCUUCCUAAAAGAAUUCUUGUUUCUGCGAAUGGAAUAAAAUGCACCUAGAUUCUCUGUUGAUGCUGAUGGCACCCAUCCCAAAGCUUCUACAUGUUGGGAGAUUCACUCUUAUUCAGCCCUAUGCUGACUAAGGGGAGUUUUCAUUCAUUUGAUGUGUUAUCUUUGUUUCAUACUGUCUGAUAUUUUAUAACAUAUGAAUUUCUUCUGGAGAAAAAAGAUUAUAUAAAGUCUUUUCCUCUCUUCAAUGAUUCAGUUUUUCACCUUACAAGAAACUCUGGAAGUUCUGGCAAUGAAGUAGUUAAGGAAAUUUGGUGAGAGUUGCGUCCAUCAAAUCUGUGCAUUUACUACAGAAGUGGUAGCUGUGAGAGGAUUUUGUAAUGGUUAGGCAUAAAAGUGAGGGAUACUACUCAACAGUUACAGGUUUUAGUGUCAAUACCUCCUGGAUACCAUUGAUUCUUUCCUUCUUGGUGAACUUAACCCUGUCAAACUCAGAUGCCAUAUUUAAGAUGAAAGGUAUUGUAUUUUCACCUUCUUUUGCUUUGUUUACUCAUCUUUCAUUUAUUAUUUCACCUUGUUUACUAGACAGAGGGAGGCUGAGGUAAUGGAACAAUUUGUUUGGCCAGCCAGUGAGGAGAAUACAGCAGAUGGAAAAUGGAAGCUACUCUUCCAGAACUCUUCAGAGUACCGUAUCUCUUUCAGUCCAGGCCCACCGGCCUUACAGGGGUUAACAAUCUCUUACAGCUCACGACUACUUACAUUUCAGUACUUUUUCCUCUGAAAAUGUGGAUCUGUUCAUUUUUUUUCAAUCUGUGUCCUCUCCAGUGUUCAGAUUUGGUAAUUUCUGUUUUCUGUCUUCCAGUUCACUGAUGAUUUCCUCUGCUUCCUUUUUUCUGCUGUUGAAACCAUCCACUGAGCUUUUUCAGUUAUUGUAUUUUUCAGUUGUAAAAUUUCCAUUUGGUUCUUCUUCUUUUGAUGGAGUUUGUUAUUGUUUCCUUUGUUUCAAGAUGUUCAUGAUUGAUGAAGCAUUAUUAUCACAGCUGCUUCAAAAUUCUUGUCGGGUAAUUCUAGCAUUGCUGUCAUCUUGGUUUUGGCACAUUUUGAUUGCUUUUUUUCUCACUCGGUUUGAGAUCUUCUUGGUUCUUGACAAGUGAUUUUCUGUUGAAACCUGGACAUUUUUGGGUUACCUUAUGGGACUCCGAGUCUUAAACUUUCUGUUUUAAAUGGCUUUAUUGGAUACCACACUGCCAGGGGAAGGGAGGGCAUUGCCUUAUUACUACCAGUGGAGGUAGAGGCCCAAGUUUCCCACUCAGCCUCAGUUAACGCCUGAGGAAAAAGUGUUCCUUAUGAUUGCUGGGUUGUGGUGGGAGUUCUAGCUCUCCGUGUGGUCCUCACUGACACUGCAGUGAGGCUGACUUUGGUAGUACUGUGUGAUCGUGAAAGUCCUGCUUCUCCACCGCCUCCUCCAACACCACCCCAGUAGGGAAAAAGAGGAGUGCCUCCUUACUGCCUGGUGGGGUUAGAAGUAAAGCUCCCCACGUUGUCUCAACUGAUACAGUGGAGGUCAGGAGAGGAGGGGAAAGCAGGCUCUUUACUGGCUGGAAAGGAUUAAAGUCCUGGCUUCCUACUUGGCAUCUCUGCUGCCACCCUGGCAGGGAGACUGGGUGCCUGAUUAUCACCUGGUAAGGGUCAAAGUCUAGGCUCUCCCAUGAGUCUUUGCUGGUAUGGGCGAAGGUGGGACCACAGUUUUGUUUUCCUUCUGUGGUGUUACACCAGAGUAGAACAGUUAUUGUCUAAAAGUUUUCCAUCUUUCAUCACAAGUUUAAAUGUAAAACCUGAAACUUAAAAAACUCAUUCAGAAAAAAAGCAGGAGAAAAUCUUGUAGAUUUAGAUCCAGACAGAGUUCUUAAACUUGACAUAAAAAAACAUGAGCCAUAGUAGGAAAAAAUGAUAAAUUGGACUUCAUCAAAUUUAAAAAAACUUUUGUUCUGUAAGACAUUCUGUAAUAGAGAAUGAAGAGAGGGGCUGGGCAUGACGGCUCGCACUUGUAAUGCCAGCACUUUUGGAGACUGAGGAGGGUGGAUCACUUGAGGUCAGGAGUUCGGGACCUGCCUGGCCAACAUGAUGAAACCCUGUCUCUACUAAACAUACAAAAAUUAGCUGGGUAUGGUGGUGGGUGCCUAUAAUCCCAGCUACUCGGGAGGUGAGGCAGGAGAAUCUCUUAAACUCAGGAUGUGGAGGUUGCAGUGAGCUGAGAUUGUGUUACUGCACUCCAGCCUGGGUGCCAGAGCGAGACUCUGUCUCAAAAAAAAAAAGUAAUUAAAAAAAAAAAACCCAGACCACCUAGUCACUCAGGCAAAGAAGGCAAAAGUUUUCAAGACAAAGGUAACCAGUCAGAAAAUUCUGCAGGGGAGACUAUGAGAUCAAGUGGCUCUAAACCUUGAGUCCCUUUGAGCCACCAGGAGAAGACUCUGGUUAUGGCCUAGAUCUUUUGAGAAGCAAGGGAAUGUGUAUAUGACAGUCUUUCUAAAACUACAGUCUUACCCUAAGGCAGGCAUUGUUAUCAUGAAGGGUUAAUAGUUACCACUUCCAGGAAGGUUGUUCCUUUUGUCAGAAACAGGACAGUUUGCAGAUGGGCCAACCUUGAUCCACAGGGAGGGCUGAUCCAGCCAGACCUUCAUGUAGUGUUAGUGGGGUAUCACUUGCAGGGGCCAUUUCUGAGGCAGGUCACAUAUGCUGCACCUUUAAGUAAGGUUAGAGCAAUGGUUUUGGGCAAUGCAGCCUUCAUUCUUAAGUCUAGUCACUUGGCUGUGCUUCUUUUUUGCUUUUUAAGUCUGUGGCUUAUUUAAGCAUUGCAUCUCCUCUACUCAGCAGGUCAGAAAGGGAGACCAGAGGGCAGCUAUGGAAUCACAGUCUCCACUUCAGCUUCUCGGUGAGCUGAACGAUGAUGGAAGGUGCUAUUAUGCAAUUUCAAAGGUGAAACAUCUGGAGCAGUGCUGCUGGUUCUGAAAAUGUUGACAUGAAAAUUGAGUAGCUGGAACAACAGUCAAAUAUUUUAAGUGCUUCUUGCCUCACUUGAAGUGGAUGAAUAAUUGCAUGAUAUGUCUAUGUAUUAGAAGAGACAAGGUGUUUUCAUGGGUCUGCUUUCUGCAUCUCUGUUUUCUUCUAGUUUUUGUCUGAGUAAUGAUGAUCUGAGUGAAGCACCCACAUACCCUCUUGGUAAACAUAGUUAUUAACUUCCUAUUUCCAAGGUAAUAAAACACUGUAAUACCACCUUUCUUAAGCCCAGAUAGAAAAUUGUUGUAUGUCCCAAACCUGAUUGUAUGCCACAAAUGUAUGUGUUUUUAAUGUGCUGUAUUCAAGCACUUUGAUGUGGUGCCAUAGCAUAUAAACAGAAAAUGCAGAGAUGCAACACUCUUGUGAAUCAGAUAUGCCUAAUUUUGUUAUUGAGAUCAUUCAUUUUUACUCUGCCACCUUGUUAGUCUAGCAAAAUGAGAUUAAUCUUUGCUAGACUUGGUUGAAGUGUUGCAAAAGUUCAAGAUGAUAUAAAUGCAAGUUGAGUGGCUUAAUUACUUUUGAGAGGCUACAAAGUUUCUGUUUAGAUCAAUCACUUUCUAGGGAUGCUUCUGGAAACAUGACAGGGUAUGGAGAUUACUCACAAUUUUGCUGCUACCAGUUUCAUUGCUACCUGACGAAGACAUAUUAAAAAAUUUAAAUUUCUUUGCACUUCAGUAAUCUGUUUGUAUCCAGAGUCAACAUUAUUUUUCAUAUUGGUAUAAUUAACUGGAAACUUUUAAAUGAGACUCAUUGGAAUUCAUUCCAAAACCAAAAUAUUCAGAAACCUAUUGUUUAUGCUCUG